Molecule: ribosomal RNA, 1343 nt
Filed under: uncultured bacterium
Lineage: Bacteria
Description: 16S ribosomal RNA
Rfam family: Bacterial small subunit ribosomal RNA
Source: RNAcentral
GACGAACGCUGGCGGCGUGCUUAACACAUGCAAGUCGAACGGAAAGGCCCUGCUUUUGUGGGGUGCUCGAGUGGCGAACGGGUGAGUAACACGUGAGUAACCUGCCCUUGACUUUGGGAUAACUUCAGGAAACUGGGGCUAAUACCGGAUAGGAGCUCCUGCUGCAUGGUGGGGGUUGGAAAGUUUCGGCGGUUGGGGAUGGACUCGCGGCUUAUCAGCUUGUUGGUGGGGUAGUGGCUUACCAAGGCUUUGACGGGUAGCCGGCCUGAGAGGGUGACCGGCCACAUUGGGACUGAGAUACGGCCCAGACUCCUACGGGAGGCAGCAGUGGGGAAUAUUGCACAAUGGGCGGAAGCCUGAUGCAGCAACGCCGCGUGCGGGAUGACGGCCUUCGGGUUGUAAACCGCUUUCGCCUGUGACGAAGCGUGAGUGACGGUAAUGGGUAAAGAAGCACCGGCUAACUACGUGCCAGCAGCCGCGGUGAUACGUAGGGUGCGAGCGUUGUCCAGAUUUAUUGGGCGUAAAGGGCUCGUAGGUGGUUGAUCGCGUCGGAAGUGUAAUCUUGGGGCUUAACCCUGAGCGUGCUUUCGAUACGGGUUGACUUGAGGAAGGUAGGGGAGAAUGGAAUUCCUGGUGGAGCGGUGGAAUGCGCAGAUAUCAGGAGGAACACCAGUGGCGAAGGCGGUUCUCUGGGCCUUUCCUGACGCUGAGGAGCGAAAGCGUGGGGAGCGAACAGGCUUAGAUACCCUGGUAGUCCACGCUGUAAACGGUGGGUACUAGGUGUGGGGUCCAUUCCACGGGUUCCGUGCCGUAGCUAACGCUUUAAGUACCCCGCCUGGGGAGUACGGCCGCAAGGCUAAAACUCAAAGGAAUUGACGGGGCCCCGCACAAGCGGCGGAGCAUGCGGAUUAAUUCGAUGCAACGCGUAGAACCUUACCUGGGUUUGACAUGGAUCGGGAGCGCUCAGAGAUGGGUGUGCCUCUUUUGGGGUCGGUUCACAGGUGGUGCAUGGCUGUCGUCAGCUCGUGUCGUGAGAUGUUGGGUUAAGUCCCGCAACGAGCGCAACCCUUGUUCACUGUUGCCAGCACGUUAUGGUGGGGACUCAGUGGAGACCGCCGGGGUCAACUCGGAGGAAGGUGGGGAUGACGUCAAGUCAUCAUGCCCCUUAUGUCCAGGGCUUCACGCAUGCUACAAUGGCUGGUACAGAGAGUGGCGAGCCUGUGAGGGUGAGCGAAUCUCGGAAAGCCGGUCUCAGUUCGGAUUGGGGUCUGCAACUCGACCUCAUGAAGUCGGAGUCGCUAGUAAUCGCAGAUCAGCAACGCUGCGGUGAAUACGUUCCCGGG